CGCGGGUGUCUCUUCACAACGGAUCGUCCGGCACGUACCUGCCGGUGGAGGGGAAACAAGA
Non-coding RNA from Frankia sp., 61 nucleotides. The record is from Rfam. Lineage: Bacteria; Bacillati; Actinomycetota; Actinomycetes; Frankiales; Frankiaceae.